This 252-nucleotide ribosomal RNA is filed under the name uncultured bacterium. Its description in RNAcentral is "partial 16S ribosomal RNA". It matches the Rfam family "Bacterial small subunit ribosomal RNA", at positions 524 to 776 of the family's 1533-position model. The record is from RNAcentral.
UACGGGGGGGCAAGCGUUGUUCGGAAUUAUUGGGCGUAAAGGGCGCGUAGGCGGUGCGGUAAGUCACCUGUGAAAUCUCCGAGCUCAACUCGGAGCCUGCAGGCGAAACUGCCGUGCUGGAGUAUGGGAGAGGUGCGUGGAAUUCCCGGUGUAGCGGUGAAAUGCGUAGAUAUCAGGAGGAAUACCGGUGGCGAAAGCGACUCUCUGGACGGCAACUGACGCUGAGGCACGAAAGCGUGGGGAGCAAACAGG